Molecule: ribosomal RNA, 301 nt
Filed under: uncultured bacterium
Lineage: Bacteria
Description: partial 16S ribosomal RNA
Rfam family: Bacterial small subunit ribosomal RNA
Source: RNAcentral
CAGCAGCCGCGGGAAUACGGAGGAUCCAAGCGUUAUCCGGAUUUAUUGGGUUUAAAGGGUGCGUAGGUGGCUUAUUAAGUCAGGGGUGAAAGACGGUAGCUUAACUAUCGCAGUGCCUUUGAUACUGAUGAGCUUGAAUGAACUAGAGGUAGGCGGAAUGUGACAAGUAGCGGUGAAAUGCAUAGAUAUGUCACAGAACACCAAUUGCGAAGGCAGCUUACUAUGGUUUUAUUGACACUGAGGCACGAAAGCGUGGGGAUCAAACAGGAUUAGAUACCCCUGUAGUCCCUGUCUCUUAUAA